UAGGCUUGACAUGUACGGGUAAGCCCUCGUUUCUGAGGGCUUACCCGUACAUGUCAAGCCUAGGUAAGGUUCUUCGCGUUGCGUCGAAUUAAACCACAUGCUCCACCGCUUGUGCGGGCCCCCGUCAAUUCCUUUGAGUUUUAGCCUUGCGGCCGUACUCCCCAGGCGGGGCACUUAAUGCGUUAGCUUCGGCACGGAGGGAGUCGACACCCCCCACACCUAGUGCCCAUCGUUUACAGCGUGGACUAC
RNAcentral lists this unclassified non-coding RNA (249 nucleotides) under uncultured bacterium. RNAcentral's name for it is "contains 16S-23S intergenic spacer region". The record is from RNAcentral.